CCUACGGGGUGCUGCAGUGGGGAAUAUUGGACAAUGGGCGAAAGCCUGAUCCAGCCAUGCCGCGUGUGUGAAGAAGGCCUUCGGGUUGUAAAGCACUUUCAGUGGGGAAGAAAGCCUUGGGGCUAAUACCCUCGAGGAAGGACAUCACCCACAGAAGAAGCACCGGCUAACUCCGUGCCAGCAGCCGCGGUAAUACGGAGGGUGCGAGCGUUAAUCGGAAUUACUGGGCGUAAAGCGCGCGUAGGCGGUCUGAUAAGCCGGUUGUGAAAGCCCCGGGCUCAACCUGGGAACGGCAUCCGGAACUGUCAGGAUAGAGUGCAGGAGAGGAAGGUAGAAUUCCCGGUGUAGCGGUGAAAUGCGUAGAGAUCGGGAGGAAUACCAGUGGCGAAGGCGGCCUUCUGGACUGACACUGACGCUGAGGUGCGAAAGCGUGGGUAGCAAACAGGAUUAGAUACCCCUGUAGUC
This 465-nucleotide ribosomal RNA is filed under the name Vreelandella stevensii. RNAcentral's name for it is "partial 16S ribosomal RNA". It matches the Rfam family "Bacterial small subunit ribosomal RNA", at positions 338 to 795 of the family's 1533-position model. The record is from RNAcentral. Lineage: Bacteria; Pseudomonadati; Pseudomonadota; Gammaproteobacteria; Oceanospirillales; Halomonadaceae.